Molecule: ribosomal RNA, 854 nt
Filed under: uncultured bacterium
Lineage: Bacteria
Description: SSU rRNA
Rfam family: Bacterial small subunit ribosomal RNA
Source: RNAcentral
UACGGAGGAUCCUAGCGUUAUCCGGAUUUACUGGGUUUAAAGGGUGCGUAGGCGGGCGUUUAAGUCCGCGGUGAAAGUCUGCGGCUCAACCGUAGGAUUGCCGUGGAUACUGGACGUCUUGGAUUCGGUCGGGGCGGGCGGAAUGCGUGGUGUAGCGGUGAAAUGCAUAGAUAUCACGCAGAACGCCGAUAGCGAAGGCAGCUCGCCGGGCCGAAAUCGACGCUGAGGCACGAAAGCGUGGGGAUCAAACAGGAUUAGAUACCCUGGUAGUCCACGCCGUAAACGAUGAUGGCUGGGUGUUGGCGAUACAUAGUCAGCGCCUGAGGGAAACCAUUAAGCCAUCCACCUGGGGAGUACGGCCGCAAGGCUGAAACUCAAAGGAAUUGACGGGGGCCCGCACAAGCGGAGGAACAUGUGGUUUAAUUCGAUGAUACGCGAGGAACCUUACCUGGGCUAGAACGCUUCUGGAAUCAUGCCGAAAGGUGUGAGCCGGCAACGGCCGGGAGCGAGGUGCUGCAUGGUUGUCGUCAGCUCGUGCCGUGAGGUGUCGGGUUAAGUCCCAUAACGGGCGCAACCCCUACCGUUAGUUGCCAGCGGGUCAAGCCGGGCACUCUAAGGGAACUGCCGGCGUAAGCCGCGAGGAAGGCGGGGAUGACGUCAAAUCAGCACGGCCCUUACGUCCAGGGCUACACACGUGUUACAAUGGCCGGUACAGAGGGCAGCCACCCCGCGAGGGGGCGCGAAUCCCGAAAGCCGGUCUCAGUUCGGAUCGGAGUCUGGAACCCGACUCCGUGAAGCUGGAUUCGCUAGUAAUCGCGCAUCAGCCAUGGCGCGGUGAAUACGUUCCCGGGCCU